RNAcentral lists this long non-coding RNA (1748 nucleotides) under Monodelphis domestica (gray short-tailed opossum). Its description in RNAcentral is "lncRNA (ENSMODG00000033322.2)". The record is from RNAcentral. Lineage: Eukaryota; Metazoa; Chordata; Mammalia; Didelphimorphia; Didelphidae.
GGAGGUAGAUGAUGAAAGCCCUUCUCACCUCCUGAUCCAAAGGCGGUGGACUUGGCACUGAAUGAGGUAUACAUUUUUGGAUAUGUCCAAUCCAGUGAAGGAAUUCAUUUUGCUUGACUAUGUAUCUUUGUUCCAAGGGUUUUCCUUUUCUUUUCUAAUGAGAGAGAUGCUUGUCAGAAAAUGUAAUUUCAAAAAGGAAGAGGGAGUUGGAACUGAUGACCUCGAAGGCCUCUUCCAGUUCCCAAUCCAGUGAAUCCAACCUGGGCCAGCUGCUUUAGCUCUGAGCCUCAGUGACCGCCUAUGUCGAAUGGGGAAUGAUGAUUCUAACACUUAGCUAGGGUAGGUUGCUGUGGGUGGUCAAGUGACAUCAUUCAUGCCAUGAUGGAUCCUACUCAUGAUAGCCCCUGGCAUUAUCCCCAUCGCCAUGCCUCUUCCUUCCUGGUUCCCAUGGGGCUAGGGCCCAGGCCCUACUCCUUCCUACCCAAGCAGUUGUCAGCAGGAACUCGGGCUUUCAGCAACUGAUCAGCUCAGACUACCAGGGGACUGUGACAUAGAGCCUGCCUCUCUCUGCUUCCUAGUACUGAUCCGCCAAAUCCAGGAGGUCACAAGAGGAUUCUCCUCUGUCCUCACAGACGACCAUCGAUUUUGAGUCGGAGAGGGUCUUCGAGGCCAGGCCGUUUAUUCCAAUGGACUCCUUGGAGGGUGAGAGACCUGAGGCCCAGAGAAAAGCAACUGGCUUAAGAUUCCACGAUAUUCUACAGAGGAGGGUCCAUAGAGGAGUCCAGGAUGGUGCGAUAAGAGCUAAGAAUCCUAGCCGUACAUUGAGUCACGCAUGGGGCCUGUCGUGAGUGUACCCUGCUUGUGCUGCCACUAGGAGUUCUCCCUCUGCAUCCCAUCCCCACUCAGGCACCUUGGUGACCCCAAAGACUCUAGUGGGGAAUGGCACACCAACCUGCAAGCCUGGGUGUUUUCAGUCUGACACUGGAUCUCCAUGUGCUCCCAUGUCACAUUCCUGGGGAGUUCUCGAUGCAUCAUCCUGAAAGAGUAAGUCCCCCUUAUAGGAAUAUUCCUUCCAGAAAGUUCCUAAAGCCCUGGACUCUGGAAAGAAAGGCAACAUUGUCCACAUCAAAAGCAACCAGCCACCAAUAUGUCAACUACACCUAGAACCAAGUCAGACAGUCCACAAACAUGUGCUUGGGGUGCGGGUUGGGAGUGAGAUGGUAGAGGAUACAAAGCUGAAAUACCCAUUUUGUAGAACCCUGUGCUAAGCACUGGGAAAGACAGGAAGGACGGGUAAGACUCAAAGCCUGCCUUCCAGAAAUGUGCACUGUGCUGAAGGGUACAGUGGAUAGAUAGAUAAUUUAUUAAGCUCUGUGUGCCAGGCACAGUGCCAAGUGCUGGAAUACACAGACAAGUACUAUAAAAGGAAAAAGAAAGAGGGAGUGAAUGUGAACAACUGAGGAUAAGAGAAAAGGCUUCCUGGAGGAGGUGGUACCUAAGCUGGGCCUCCAAAGCGGGGAGAUGGAGGGUCAAGUUUAGGACCUGGCCUAGUAGUCCACUUGAUGACAGGCAAUCCAAUCAUAUGAGAGAAGGCUGGAAAAGGAAGGAGGCUGGCCAACUGUGGAGAGACUUGGAUGCCAGGCUAAAGUGAGGUCGGUUGAAUGACCUUUUGGAUAUGAUCAAACAAUUGGAGGAUGGGGGGAAAUGUUUUAUCUGAUUGUACAUGCAAAGUCUUUAUCAGAUCGGAG